CGGGCGCAAUCGACCGAGUACGAAGCUGGGGAGCGAACAGGAUAGAACCCUGGUAGUCCACGCCGUAAACGGUGGGCACUAGGUGUGGGCGACAUUCCACGUCGUCCGUGCCGCAGCUAACGCAUUAAGUGCCCCGCCUGGGGAGUACGGCCGCAAGGCUAAAACUCAAAGUGAAUUGACGGGGGCCCGCACAAGCGGCGGAGCAUGUGGCUUAUUCGACGCAACGCGAAGAACCUUACCAAGGCUUGACAUACACCGGAAAGCAUUAGAGAUAGUGCCCCCCUUGUGGUCGGUGUACAGGUGGUGCAUGGCUGUCGUCAGCUCGUGUCGUGAGAUGUUGGGUUAAGUCCCGCAACGAGCGCAACCCUUGUCCCGUGUUGCCAGCAGGCCCUUGUGGUGCUGGGGACUCACGGGAGACCGCCGGGGUCAACUCGGAGGAAGGUGGGGACGACGUCAAGUCAUCAUGCCCCUUAUGUCUUGGGCUGCACACGUGCUACAAUGGGCCGGUACAAUGAGCUGCGAUACCGCGAGGUGAGC
This 537-nucleotide ribosomal RNA is filed under the name Streptomyces malachitofuscus. RNAcentral's name for it is "bacterial SSU rRNA". It matches the Rfam family "Bacterial small subunit ribosomal RNA", at positions 734 to 1268 of the family's 1533-position model. Lineage: Bacteria; Bacillati; Actinomycetota; Actinomycetes; Kitasatosporales; Streptomycetaceae. The record is from RNAcentral.